AGAGUUUGAUCCUGGCUCAGAUUGAACGCUGGCGGCAUGCCUUACACAUGCAAGUCGAACGGCAGCACGGGAGCAAUCCUGGUGGCGAGUGGCGAACGGGUGAGUAAUAUAUCGGAACGUGCCCAGUCGUGGGGGAUAACGCAGCGAAAGCUGUGCUAAUACCGCAUACGAUCUAUGGAUGAAAGCGGGGGAUCGCAAGACCUCGCGCGAUUGGAGCGGCCGAUAUCAGAUUAGGUAGUUGGUGGGGUAAAGGCCUACCAAGGCGACGAUCAGUAGCCGGCCUGAGAGGGUGAACGGCCACACUGGGACUGAGACACGGCCCAGACUCCUACGGGAGGCAGCAGUGGGGAAUUUUGGACAAUGGGCGCAAGCCUGAUCCAGCCAUGCCGCGUGAGUGAAGAAGGCCUU
Molecule: ribosomal RNA, 408 nt
Filed under: uncultured bacterium
Lineage: Bacteria
Description: bacterial SSU rRNA
Rfam family: Bacterial small subunit ribosomal RNA
Source: RNAcentral